AUGUUCAAAUGGGACUGGCAAUGGAGAUGCAAAAAGCAUGGAGACAUGGCUUAUCUCAUGAGGUUACUCAACAAGAGCAGACUGACUGAAUUGCACAAGUUUGGAAACUUUAACCUGUUGGGGACAAAGGCUGUCAUAAAUGUGGAUAGUUGGACCUAUGAUACACAAGCCAUAGGAAAGUUGCACACUGUGUGGGUGAAAAUUGGCAAAAUGCCUGAGUGUUUCAAACAUUUUUUUGGUGCUUGUGAAGUAGCUGCUACUAUUGGCCCAGUCCUGGAGAUAGAUAUGAAAACAAUUUUGCUGAAAAAAUCGGAGCCAGGGUGA
RNAcentral lists this ribosomal RNA (324 nucleotides) under Triticum aestivum (bread wheat). Its description in RNAcentral is "partial small subunit ribosomal RNA". The record is from RNAcentral. Lineage: Eukaryota; Viridiplantae; Streptophyta; Magnoliopsida; Poales; Poaceae.